UUUUUUAAAAAAACAAACUCUUUUUCAAACUAUGUCAAGCACUCUCACAUACUUUUAGAAUCUAGGUUCUGCCGUUUUUGUGUGAGCCUUGCCUUGGGACCCUUGAGCUCCCUCUGAACUUGGACACAUAAGAGUUAGCCCUUCCACACUGCAGUCAUUCUAUUUGGUCAUGCAAAUCUGGGUGUGAGCACUGCCCGAGAUCCCUUGAGGUCCUUAGGGAACUCUGACACACCCAGAUAUGAGAAAGGCUUUGGAACAAUAGUGGCUUUUGAGGUGGUUCAUUACAUAACUCAAAGAGGAAGUCAAGAUCAGGCUUCCUAUGGUUGUAACUUCUUAUUUUUGCAUUUCUUUUGGUAAUUCAUCAUUUGGUCUGUAAUAUUUUAUAAACAAUUAUGGGGUUGGCUUGUGAAAAGGGAAUGGGUAAGUAUGCAUGCUUUAGCUAUCAAAAGGGUAGAAAGCAUGUUACUAGGUUUACGUUCCUACUUGCGCAAUAGAAACCAUGCCUAGGACUCAUUUCAUGCAUUAGAGAUCAUGCUCCUUAGGAUUUACACUUACUGUUUUUAGCAUGUCCAUUUCACUAUCAUAUCACUUAGAAAAUCCAGCGUUAAAAGUGUUAAUAAUCGGUAUUUUCUGCAAUCAUGUUCCUACUGCCAUGCACACUUGGAGAUCCUAUUUUAGGCUAAACAACACCAACAAGCAUAUCCUCUCUACAUAUUCUGGAAGUCAUGUUUUAAAUGCUGUAAUAUUUGUGCAUAUAGAAAUCCUACUUAGGAUUCUAGAUAUAUAUCAUUCUGCAUCUCUCUACAUUAGAUGCCAUGUCUUUAGGACUUCAUUUAUAUUCGCUUAAACACACUUAGGCUAACUAUGAAUGCAUAAAACAAUUUUAUUUAGUUUUUUUACAACCAACUGGCAAUAAUUCUAUGUGCUGAACACCUAAAACAACAUGUCUUAGGUAAUAAUAAUCUCCAAAUGUCUUAAUGAUUCUGAAUAACUACUGAAUACUGCUAACGCCUAGGCAAGCCUCAAGCCUCAGGUAAUUACUUAAAUAAAAUUGGAAAUGCCUCUGUUUAAUUCUAGACUGCUAUAACUAGCAGGCAGGCCUGAUUUGGACUUCCUUUCUGAGUUGUAUAAUGAAUUUGGUUCUAACUUAAACACCCUGCCUUAGGAUUCUAAACUCGGACCUUAAUUGUGUAUAAGUCGUGCUAUCAAUGUGCACUGCUUGCGAAGGUAUAACUGAGCCUUCUAUUUUAUUAUAUGUUUCCCAUAAUUGCAGUUUUAUAUGUUUUGUAUGUCGCCUUAGCAUUUUACUUUUAAACCUAAGGGUCAGCCUAGAACCUCCUUCUUAUAAGAAUAGGAGUCCUAUAAUUCCUCCGGGACUGAUAGGAAUGGUACGGGUAACAACAUGCAAUAGAGGUCGAGACCAACCCUCGCUUCAAUACCUUUACAGGGUGGGGAGGGUAGAUAUGGAUAUGAUGAUCGGUGCGCUAAUACCACGUGCAUCCCCUCUUCUGAGGAGCGUCAUACCGGGUAUUUUAUUGAUGUGAUCCAUAUUACAAACAAACCUAGGACACCCUCUUUAUUUUUAUCAGUACGCUUAGACUAUAACUCUUUUCAAAACCUUGCUUUUAUUAAUCGUUUUUCAAACACUUGUGUAUUCAAACUUAAAUCCUCUAUUACAUGUGCCUUUAUUUGUUUAUUUUCUAAUUGCACAAAUUCACAAAAACUGUCUAGCCGGGAACCACACUAGUGGAUCUUGAGGGGUGCCUAACACCUCCCCCCAGGAUAAUUUCAAGCCCUUACCCUAUCUCUAGUUAUCAAACAUUGUUGUAGUUGAACCUUAUAGGUGCCCUAACGCACCUUGAAAUUGUUAGGUGGCAACUCUUCAAAUACCAAAUUCCCAAAAGGAAAUGACUCAUCACACCCCAUGAAUGUCGAAACCCGGACUCCUCUCCGAUGGAAAGGGGAAAAAGGGGGCGCAACAGUGAUCUGAUGAAAACCAUGUGCGAAACAUUCACAAUCAAGCACAAAAAUUCCACAACCUAUAGACCUCAGAUGAACGGAGCCGUAGAAGCCGCCAACAAAAACAUCAAGAAGAUAUUAAGGAAUAUGGUAGAAAACCACAAGCAAUGGCACGAGAAACUACCCUUUUCUUUGUUGGGAUACCACACUAUAGUUCUCACAUCAAUCGGGGCAACUCCCUACAUGCUGGUUUAUGGUACCGAAGCUAUCAUCCCAGCCGAGGUAGAGAUCCCUUCUUUAAAGAUCAUAGAGGAAGCCGAACUCAAUGAUGCAGACUGGAUAAGAAGCCGCUAUAAGCAAUUGGACCUUAUAGAUGGAAAAAAAGAUGAACGCAGUAUGCCAAGGUCAGCUUUAUCAGAACAGAAUGACCAGAGCUUUCAACAAGAGGGUCAAAUCAAGAUAGUUUGCACCCGGACAACUGGUACUGAAGAAGAUCUUCGAACAUCAAGAUGAAGCCAAAGGAAAAUUCUCUCCUAACUGGCAAGUUCCUUAUAUGGUUCACAAGGUGCUAACAGGAGGAGCACUCAUACUUGCAGAAAUGGAUUGAGAAGUCUGGCCAAAAUCAACUAAUUUAGACGCAGUCAAGAGAUACUAUGUUUAGACAACUUACAUUUCUUCAUCUGACGUAAUUGAACUACGCUUGACCUGAUUCCCGUUUAAGAGGGGAUACGUAGACAACCGUGUGGGUUCGGUCAUAUCAUAAUAAAACUUUCAUUUCUCCCAAAAGCAGAAACUAGGGCAGAAUUUUGAGGAGGACCCUCAAAAUUACGGAGCAAGUCCAGCAGACGCCAGCAUAUGCCAGAGAGUCAGAAAUUGGUUAAGAAAUUGGGGAAGAAUUUUGAGAAGAGUUCUCAAAUUUCCGAAGAAGGUUCAACAAGUUUUGUUACUUGCAAACGGCUGAAGGAUCAUCUACCAAACUGGGGCAAAAUUCUGAGGAGAGCCCUCAAAAUUCUAACACAAGAAAACUGCGAUGUCUCUGAGAUGUGUUAUAGUCACUGGUUCCUCCAAAAUUAUUUGAUAAAUUCACCAUGUUUCCAAAAAAUAACUCUAUUUUUAUCAAUAAUUACAUAUUUUCGAAACUCUAUUUUCGUAACAGCCAGGUGUUACCCAGGGAAACUCAGACAAGGCCUCUAGGAUGGAGCAAAGCAAAGUCAGCAGACAAAGGCAUGAACCAACAUCCCCUUUACAAAAUUUAUAAUUUUUCUUUGAACGCAGGCACAUCUGACGUAGCAAUAGCAUUCACAAAUAUAUAUACACGAAGCAAAAUUACUAUCAAACGGGCCACCAUACACUGAACGUAUCUCCAGCUAAGAAACAUUCUACCCUCAUUUGCUAUUCGUUCUUUGCAUGGGACUAAGACCUAUCCCGAACCUUGCAUGAGGCUAAGACCUGCCUCCAUAUUUGCAUAAGGCUAAGCACUGCCUUCCAUAUGCAUGGGACUAAGCUCUGUCCCGCAUUUUGCAUGAGGCUAAGCCCUGCCUCCAUAUUUGCAUAAGGCUAAGCACUACCUUCCAUUUGCAUGGGACUAAUCCCUGUCCCGCAUAUUGCAUGAGGCUAAGCCCUACCUCCAUAUUUGCAUAAGCUAAGCACUGCCUUUCAUUUGCAUGGGACUAAGACCUGUCCCGCAUCUUGCAUGAGGCUAAGCUCUGCCUCCACAUUUGCAUAAGGCUAAUCUCUGCCUUCAUUUGCAUAAGGCUAAUCUCUGCCUUCAUUUGCAUAAGACUAAGCUCUGUCUCCAUACCUGCAUGAGUCUAAACUCUGCCUUCAAUUUACAUUCUUUCACCGAGAUGAAGCAUUGUCUCUCCGGCACUAUCUAUUUGCUCCUGUUUCGGGCUAAGCUCUUCCCUCAACCUCACAAGACUAAGACUUGUCUUGUUAAACAUCAUAUUAUUGCAUUUCUUGGGCUGAAAUAUUGCCAAUCUGUCCAAAGGUGUCAUAGUAUAAAGGCAUCAUCCUCAUAUCCGGAAAACACCAUGCUAAGGCCUGAGGAUCUCUCAAAUUUGCAUAUCAUUAUUCAAAGGCGUCAUUGUUCGGAGGCACCAUUUUUAUGGCCCGAGAACAUCAUUUCAUGGCCUGCGAAUCCCUCACUGAACAAUUCAGGACCCAGGAUAUCAUGGUCUAAGGACAUCAUCUGCACCGUCCUAAGACAACUUUUAUGGUCCGAAGGGAAUCUGCAUCAUGUUUAAAUUUUAGCACACAUACAUGUUCGUAGCAUCUAUUUAUCUGCAUGUGACCAGUAAGUAGCCGUUAUCCCAGCAGGAGCGACCUCGCUCCAGUUCCUACAACUAUCUCAAACUUGACCGCUCACCAUAACCAUUCUUUCACCCAGCCCGAAAUUUCGUGCUCGUUCUUAUAAUGACUUCAUCAGUACAUUCUACCGAUGCAUAUGGAACUACACACGGCCUGUAUUUGGUAAAACCAGGGAUAUGUUGGCAUCUUGAAGACUAGAGUCCGGCCUCUAUCUUUCAAAACAUUCUAUUCGGUCAAAAUUGACCAUCAUUUCUUUACCCGAAAACUCUUUCAUCAUUCACGGGUAAAGAGGGGCGGCUGUUGAUACCCAAUUUUUCCCUCAUAUAUUUUUAAAUAUAGAUAAAUACUUUCAAAAUAUUGUACAUGUAUUUGCAAACAUGAACAUGUAUUUUUAUAAUUUUUCUAUAAUUUUAAAGGCUUUAAAUCAUUUUAUUUCUGCAUUUUUAUUUAUACAAAUAUACGAUAAUUAUUGCUCAUAUUAUUUUUAUGAUGAUCUAAUUAUCUAACUUCAUCAUUUAUGCUCAUAUGAUAUUUAAAUAUUUUAAUUGCCUUUUUUACCAUCACAUUUACAUUUUUAGGCUAGAAUUGCAUUUUUUGGCAACAAUAGCCUAUAUAUAUGCACAAUUAUAUUAUCUAUACAAACAAUAACUUUUCAUACUUUUACAAUAUUAAGUAAGUAUUUUAAAUCAUUUUCAUGCACAAAUCACAUUUUUAUCAUUUAUAAAUUAUUUUAUAAAACUGUUUUAUUAAAUUAAUUGGGUAUUUAAAAUCUAGCCCCUAGAAAAUACUAAUUUUCGGACCCAAAAACUUAGCCCAAAUCCCUAACCCAAUUCAAUUAGGCCCAAAGGUAAUUUAACCCAACCCAAACCCCUCUAAUCUUUGCCGUUGAUCUCAGAGAUCAACGGCCCACAUUGGUUCUUACCAUUUUAACUCUAAACGACCCCCUAACCUAAAAACUUUCCCCACCAUACCCCACCGUCACAUGUUCCCUCCUCUCUCAAAUGCUCUCUACCUAAACCCUAAUGUUCAGACGCUGUCACCGGCUUAGCCCUCCAUUUUACGAUGUUUCUCCGUCGUCUCAGACCUAUAUUGGCCUCCUACUUGCUUUGGUAUCUCCAUCUCCUAGAUCCUUGAGGAGAUUCUCAAGGGACCAGGGCAAGUCUGCUUUAUACUUUUGGGUUUUCUUGCCGGUUUCAGGCUAUUUGGCUCGACCUUGAGUAAGAUUUUUCUCAUUUUCGUCUUAAAUCCAUGGUUUCCUAAGUUUAUGCUCGUCUCUGUUGCCUUUCUAAAAACCCUAAUUUUUAUCCUUUGACCUUCUCAGAUCUGUCCAUAUCAAAGAUGAAUUGAACCUAUUUCACAUUUUUUACGAAAGUCUUAUGGUUUUCAAUUGAUUCUCCGUUUUUUUUUUCCUAAAAAUAGGGUUUACUCAACUCACCUUCUCAAAGCUUUUCUGAUUUUCAAGUGCUUAAUCGUUGUUCUUAAGUGUUACUGAUUGAAUCAUGUUAAGAUUGUUUGGACCCUAGUCGAUUUAUGCUAAAGCCCCAAUUUUCUUAUACUUUUGCUUCGUUUCUGGGUUUUUCCAUGUCACUCGUUACAUUGUUUCAUUCUGUUCUUUGACUUUCAUGAUUUCUCCUUAGUCUAAUUCAUUAUCUUGUGACUUUUACCCUAGUUCAUCUAUACUAGGGUUUCUGAGUCGAUAUCUCGGCUAAUUUCUGUAUGUUUAUGAAAUUUUAUUUAGCCUACUUGUCUAUUUGUGGAAACUGAUAUUUAUCCCCUCUUUAAAUCAGUACUAUUUUGAAUUUUGAUUUACUGAUUUGCUCGGUUAAAUUUAUGUGCUGAUUCUUGAUUUAUUCCCUUGUUUACGACUUUAAUUAUUCGUCUUACCUUAUUUAAUUGCCUGUAAUGUUACUGAUUCUUCACGAAUAUUUCCUUAAUUAGACUCCUGUUUGUUUACCUCUUUACUUAGGUCUGAUUUGGUUUCUUUCCUUAAACGACUCUUGUCCUUUAACCGUUGAGUAGUUAUCCUCAAUUAAGGGAAGACUACAUUGAUUUGGCGUGUGAAUUGAUUAAGUGAUUUCCUUAAUUGCCGAGUGAUUGAUCUCCUUUACCGUAUUCUUUUUGCUCUUAACUACUACAUAUACUCUUUUCUAUUCUCACUUCUGGGACACGAACAUUAGUUCACCACUACACUUACACUUUAAAAGCUCUCUAUUCUUCUCUGCUACUUGUUAUAUUCAUUGGCCUAGCCGGCUGAAAGCCAAGGCUAACCAUUGCACAACCUUUGCUCUACAUUCUGUGUUCUUCUUCCUAGCUAACUGGUAUGUCCCUGAUUAAUUUUUGAAAUCUAAACCUUAUGUGCCCUAGUUCAUCAAUUGUGAAUUCCAUUCUUAUUCUUGUUUACUAAUUUGUUUGACAUGCCUAAUCAUGUCUUGUUCAAUAUGUGAUAAUUGCAUGUAUAUUGCUUUACAUAGCAUGUUUCAAUUUUGUUUUGAUCGAUAUGUAAUUGGCAUGUCUAAACUAUAUUGCAUGUUUACUGUUUCACCUAAUAUGUCUGAACCUUGUUCUGUUCAAUAUGUGAUUGUUGAUACCCAAUUUUUCCUCAUAUAUUUUUAAUAUAUAUGUAUAUACUUUCAAAAUAGCACAUAUGCAGUUAUGACCAUGCAUAAGCAUUUUUUAUAAUUUUUCUAUAAUUUUUAAUGCUCUAAAACAAUUUAUUUCUCCUCUUUAUUUAUAAAUUGUCCACUAAUUAUCAUUCAAAUUAUUUUUGUGAUGAUUUGGUCAUUUGAAUUCUUUAUUUAUGCCAUCAUAAUUGUUUAAAUAUUUUUAGUGCAUUUUUUAUUAUUGCAUUUAUAUUCUUGGCUAAAUUGCACAUCUUUGCAAUAACAACCCAUAUUAACGUAUAAUUCAAUUAUUGAUGCAUGAAAUGAUGUUUUAUAUUUUUAAAAUUUUAAAUAACUAUUUAAAAUCAUUUUAAUACAUGAAAUAAUUUUUGGAACUCAUUUACUAUUUUUAUAAAUUAUGUAACUAUUAAAAGUGGCUAUUUAAAAUCUGGCCUAUUUUAUUUCAAUUUAACCUAUUUUCAACCCAAUAACCAGCCCAAACCCAACUACCCGAUCCGGCCCCUAAACCCUUUUAAUCUCAGUCAUUGAUCAUAGAGAUCAACGACCACAAAAGACCCUUCCUAAAAUAAACCAAGCGACCCCCCUAAACCCUUUCAUUCUACACUAUCCGCCGCCCUGAAACCCUUCUCCUCUCUCAAACUCUCUGAAACCUAACCCUAACCUACCCACAUCGUCGGUCGUCUACUGCCUUUCAUGGUGUUCCUCACCACUCCCCAGGCGUCUAAUGGCCUCCCUCAUACUGGUACUGCCAUCUCCAGGGUCCUCAAGGGACCAGGGUCAGUGGAUUGCAUCUAUGGUCCCUUUCUCGCCUGUUUUAAGCCAUUUCAGUGUGAUUCCGAGUAAGAUCGUCCUAUAUCGACUAUGAUCUAUGGGUUUUUAAGCAUGUUUCUUCACCUCUGUGUUGUUUUCCUCGAAACCGUAAUCUCUUUCUUCUAAACCUCUUAGAUCUGUAUAGAUUUAAGACGAUUUGGACUUGUUUCAUAUGAGUUUUACAAUAACCUUGUGAUUCUUUACAAGAAUAGUAUGAUUUUCGAGUGAGUUUUCAUCUUUCUUUAAACUAGGGUUCCUGAAAUAUCUUUUUCCAAAAACAUUUGAUGAUUUGGGUGUUUAAUCUCCUGUUUCCUGUAUGUUUUAACCAAUUUUUUUAGGACUGCUCUGAUUUCGACUCUUUUACACUAAAAGCCCUAAUUUUUCGACAUUCUUUGUUUGGUCUCUGAGUACUUGUAUGCUGACUGUGUUCUUGCUUUGGUUCUUGUGAUUUUCUUUAGCCAUUUAGAUAUCUCGUGGCCUUCUUACCCUAAUAUGCCUUUACUGAGAUUCUUAAUUUAACUUUUCACUGAUUCUAUAUGUUUGUGUUCAUCCUGACUAUUCGUUUCUUACCUUAUCUGCUACACUUGCUGAAUCUUUCGUGAUUUUCCCUCUAACUGAGCCCUAUUAGUGUUCUAACCUAAUUUUUCGACUAAUUUCUAUGUUUCUAUUAAAUUUUACUUAGUUUAUUUUCUAUUUAUGGGAACUAAUAUAUACUCUUUCUAAAAAUCAGUAUUACUUUGAAAUUCUGGCUGAUUGAUUACUCCGUUAAAGAUUGGUAUGCAUAGACAUUAUUUGUUUCCUUGUUUAUAACUUUAAGUGGUCAUCUAUGCCUUAAUUGUUUGCCCGUAUAAUGUGGGAAUUCUAACUGAUUCUUUAUUUGGUAUGGUUUGGUCUUCUUUACCUUAAUUAAACCCCUAUUGUUACCAUUUGUCUAAUUGCCCCUAAUUAAAGGAGUCUAUUCUGAACUCCUUAUAUGAUUGGAUUCUGAUUUGCCUUAAUUGCUGAUUUUUGAUUCUUUUACCUUAUUAACUCUACCCUCGAACUGCUAUAUAAGCACUCUCCUAUUCUCACUUCAAAAACAGAACAUUAGUUCAUAAAAAGCACACUUACACUCUAAAAGUUCUCUUUCUGUUAUGCUAUUUGUGAUACUUACUGAUCUAACCGGCUGAAAGCCAAGGCUAGAUAUUGGAAAUUCAUUUGCUUUAUAGUUUGCACCCUUUUCUUCAACUGGUAUGUUUCUAGUUAAGUUUUGAAAUCCAAACCCUAUAUGUUUCAUUCCCGCACUAGUUCAUCAGUUAUGAGUUCAACUUGUAUUCUUGCCUAUUUCUCUGCUCAGCAUGUCUAAACUCUGCCGGUUCAAUGUAUUCUUUAUAUUCUGCACUCUUUCCUGCUUAGUUCUUUGCCUAGCAUGUCUAAAACUCUGUCCUGUUCAUUGUAUGCACUCUUUCCUGCUUACUUCUUUACCUAUCAUGUCUAAAUAUUAUUUUUAAUCAUGUUCAAGACUUGUCAACUAUGAUCUAUGUCUUAACUACUUACUGUCCAUGAUUAGCCUGGUGAGUCUCUAAGACCCCAAGUGUUUUUAUGCAGUUUGUUGACUAUAUGUUUCCUCUAUACUCUAUACAUGUACCCCAAUAUGACUCUUAUGUGCCCCAAUCCCUUUAUCCCCCUGUGAGAUCUGUUUGUUAAGUGUUUUCCGAAUCUGGAUGUUUUUAUGACCAAUUGAUUGACUGCUAUUUUGGUACUCUUCUCAAACUGUCUUUUACUGCCAAACUAUUUCCUGUUUCUAAAAAACCUUUUACUUCUAAAGUAAUCUCUGUACUAUUUUCAAAACCUUUUCAAAACUAUGUCAAGUACUCUCACUUCACUCUUAGAAUACUAGGUUCUGCCCUUCUGAUAUGUGUACUGCCUUGAGAUCCUUGAGAUCUCUAUGAACUCUGGAAUGUCAGAUCUAGCCUUUCCACACUGCACCUAAAUCAGUUAUUGUUUGAGAAAAGUUCUAGGUGUGAGCGCUACCCGGGAUCCUUGAGGUCUUUAGGGAAUUCUGACACACCUAGAUAUGAGUUUGGCUAUGGAACUUUGGGCAUUUAAGGCUAUUGGAGGCUGAGAAGUCAUUUGGGCCUACUGUAGGCUCCCUAUAGAUUAUCUCUUAUUUAUUUAUGUAUUUUUGUUUAAUUCAUUGGUCUGUAAUAAUUUUGUAAACAAAUAGUGUGGUAAUUAGUGAAAAGGGGAGGGUAGUUAUAUAUAUUGGGUAAAUUAGAUAGAUACCAUGCUUAUAGGGUCCAUGUUGAUUCAAAUGUGUUUGUUAUGUUUGUUUUACUUCCACACAAUUAGAAACGAUGUCUAUAGGAUCUAAAUAGCUUUAAUAAUAGAGAUCACGCCUAUAGGAAUUAAAAUCAGCUCUAAUAGAAAUCAUGCCUAUAGAUCUUAAAACCAGUUUAGCUAAAUAAAUCAGUUCAAAUUCAUUUUUUGAAUUGGCUUAAUUAAUUAAUUUAUCUAUUUCUUUAACAAGUUUUCAAACAAUGCCUUAAAACCAAUACUGCUAGAAAGCAUGCCUAUAGGAUCUUAAGUUGUCGUUUAAAAAUCAUUCUACUCUUUUAUUGCAUUCCCAAUCACUAUAGAUACCAUGCUUUUAGGAUGUCACUGUUGUGCAUUUAGGAAAGCCUCUAGGGCGAUUAAAAUCCUUCAACUACAAAAGUUGUGCUUUGUUAUUUAAGACUGUUCACAUUCAUAGGUCUAAAAUCAGUAGGCAAGCUAAAUAGGUCUUUGAUGCUUGAUCCUAAUUCAAUGAUGUAUAAUCCCUACUCACCUAGAUAUCAUGUUCUAGGAUUUUCUCUUAAAUACUUGACUGUAGUGGAAGAUGUGCACUUACUUUUUAUAUUUGUGCAGGUGACUGUGAGCAUGUAAUUUGUUCUGUUUAAAUGCAGUCCUAAUUGUUUUUGAUUGACGNCUAGACUUNUNNNNNNNNNNNNNNNNNNNNNNNNNNNNNNNNNNNNNNNNNNNNNNNNNNNNNNNNNNNNNNNNNNNNNNNNNNNNNNNNNNNNNNNNNNNNNNNNNNNNNNNNNNNNNNNNNNNNNNNNNNNNNNNNNNNNNNNNNNNNNNNNNNNNNNNNNNNNNNNNNNNNNNNNNNNNNNNNNNNNNNNNNNNNNNNNNNNNNNNNNNNNNNNNNNNNNNNNNNNNNNNNNNNNNNNNNNNNNNNNNNNNNNNNNNNNNNNNNNNNNNNNNNNNNNNNNNNNNNNNNNNNNNNNNNNNNNNNNNNNNNNNNNNNNNNNNNNNNNNNNNNNNNNNNNNNNNNNNNNNNNNNNNNNNNNNNNNNNNNNNNCGCCUAGACUUUUAUCCUUUAAAACCUUAGAAAGUUCUAGAACUAGCUAAACUAGAGGUCCUAAAUACCUCCAUGGCCACAAGGAAUGGACAGGUAGUGCACACAUAGGACAUCUAUCAAGGAUAUUAGAACGCUUUAGGCUAUGACCAAGGGGAGGGAAUUGGGUAGUAAGGAUAUGAUGACUACACGUUAAUGUCUCGUGUAGCCCCUCAUUGAGGAGUGAUUACCGGGCAUUGUGUGGGGUGAUCCUGUAGGCCAACCAACCUAGGACCCCUCUUUCCCAAUUCCUGAUGUUUAAACUUUUCUUUUCUUUAUAUAUGUGCAACUUGUUCGAACCUUUUCCCCUGUUCCAUUACUUGAGUCAUGUAUGUGCUUAGUAUGCCUUUAUUUGGAAGUAUGUGUUUAAACUAUUUAUUUUUUAAAAGGACUAAUUCACAUAAGCAUAAGUUCGUCCGGGACCCACCGUUGUGGACCGAGAAGGGUGCCUAACACCUUUCCCUCAAGGUUAUUUCGAACCCUUACCCUAAAUCUCUGGUAAUGUAAACUAGUCUAAGAGUUAAUCGCUCUAGGUGCCCUAAUGCACCAUAAUACGUUAGGUGGCGACUAUUCAAAAUACCCAAAUCCCAAAAGGAAAUGAGUUAUUACCCCCAUGAACGUCGAAACCCGGACUUUCUCCGUGGAGAAAAAAAGGGGGUACGCCAGCAUGGCGACUCUGCUGGGGAUAGUUUUAGGCUCUUACCAUAACAAACUUAUCUUUUGUGAAUUAGUCCAAGCAUGCUCUAUCCCACGUACCCUUGCCCCUUAUUUGAAUUUAACUAUCUAUUUUCAAGCAUUUUUAUUUCUUUACUUCUGAAACUGACUUGUCUCCUUGUUUUCUUUUUCCGUAACUGUCUUUCAAUUAUUUAAAUACUAUAUUUAUUUUUUCCUAUGUGCAAAUACUUGACUACAUGCUAUUUAUUGCUGCAUAAAUCAUACUCAAUAUCAUAUUCCACUCGUGCGUAUUAAAUCCUAUAGCAACGCUUGAUGAGUGGUUGCGCUCUUCCAAUUUAUUACCUUUAAAUUCAGAAAGGCUUAUUUGUAGUAAAACUAGUCGAUCAGUGGUGCAGUCGACGGUUCCGUGCCUUUCCCCCUCAAGUUGUCCAUUUGAGGGUACUAGUCUAGACCCUCAUAGUAACCUUACUCUGAUUGAAAUUGUGCAUGCAUCAUGGUCAAACCUAGUCGGAUCAAUAUGUUGUCCACAUAAUGGUCAUUUAAGACAAGCCUUAUCCAAAAGUACAUAGGGGUUUCUAUAAUCCCAAUGGACACUACCACGUUCUCCCUAUUAAUUUNNNNNNNNNNNNNNNNNNNNNNNNNNNNNNNNNNNNNNNNNNNNNNNNNNNNNNNNNNNNNNNNNNNNNNNNNNNNNNNNNNNNNNNNNNNNNNNNNNNNNNNNNNNNNNNNNNNNNNNNNNNNNNNNNNNNNNNNNNNNNNNNNNNNNNNNNNNNNNNNNNNNNNNNNNNNNNNNNNNNNNNNNNNNNNNNNNNNNNNNNNNNNNNNNNNNNNNNNNNNNNNNNNNNNNNNNNNNNNNNNNNNNNNNNNNNNNNNNNNNNNNNNNNNNNNNNNNNNNNNNNNNNNNNNNNNNNNNNNNNNNNNNNNNNNNNNNNNNNNNNNNNNNNNNNNNNNNNNNNNNNNNNNNNNNNNNNNNNNNNNNNNNNNNNNNNNNNNNNNNNNNNNNNNNNNNNNNNNNNNNNNNNNNNNNNNNNNNNNNNNNNNNNNNNNNNNNNNNNNNNNNNNNNNCGGUAUGGUUAGCAACAUUCCACCAUUGCUGCUAGAUUGGUGGGAGGACCUUUUCCUCAAGUGAUAAGAAACAUGUAAGAAAGUACCUGGGUAUCUUGCCUUCCCUGCUAGACAUUCAGCCAAACAACAGGUUGAUCGAGGAUACCACUUUAUUUUGGGACAGUGAAAGGGCUGUGUUCCAUUUCGGCGACAUAGAAAUGACUCCACUCCUAGAGGAAAUUGGGGGACUUACGGGAUUGACUUGGGAUAGCCCUGGGUUGUUGGUACCGAAGAAUCGUACUGGCAGAGGGUUCCUAAAGAUGAUGGGGUUGAAGAAAAAUGCUGACUUGGUAUGCCUAGAGAAGUCCUACAUACCCUUCGAGUACUUGUACGAGAGAUAUGUCCAUAAAAAGUCCUACCGUACCUUCCAUGACAAGCUUUCUAUCACUUCUCUGGGCCACAUCCAUCGUAGAGUGUUCGUGUUCAUUGUGUUUUUCUUGGGCCUGAUAGUGCUCCCAAUGAAAAGGGAAAGAAUACAUACUAGGUUGACCAUGGUCGCCAAGACUUUGAUGGAGGGAUCAAUGGGAAAUCAUACACUAUAGUCACCAUGAUCAUAGCCGAUAUCUACAGGGCUUUGGUGCGCUGUUAAAGAGAAGUCAAGCAUUUCGAGGGUUGUAACUUGUUGCUGCUGUUGUGGUUAUUAGAACAUCUUCAAAAAGGUCACUGUCGCCAAGAAUUUCUGCGAAGGGCUUGGAACGACCAUAUUACCUUCCAUCACCCCAAGAGGAUGACUUACAUUCCGGACAGGUUUGCUCAGCCGAAAAGUUCCAAGGAGUGGGUAGAGUUCUUCAACAAUCUGACUGAGGAACAGGUGCAAUGGAUUCUUGAAUGGUUCCCAACAGACGAAUUCAUCAUCAGAUCCAGGGACACUCCACACUUGGUAUUGAUUGGGUUGAGAGGGAUAAACCUUUAUGUCCCUAUCUGAGUCAUGAGGCAAGCAGGCAGGAAACAAGUUGUACCCAGGAUCACUAAAAUGAGCCAUUUUAGAGUAGACUUCCAGGAUGAUGAUGUCCCUUACAAGUGCCAAGCUUAGCAUAUGUGGCACUGCAAGAUCAUUGUGGAAAAGGACAUCACUGAUCCAGACAAGUAUCAUGCGGGGUGUGAACCCCUCUACCCAGCAUGAUUAGAGGACAACCUGAAGGGGAUGGUGAUACCAGGAACUGGUCGAGGGAAUAGGAUCAUAGACGAAGAAGCUGAGGCUCAAGUCAAAUAGAACAAGCUGUGUAAGAGGGUCCAUGACUCUAAGAAUGAGCACUGGGAAAUACACGAGAAAAACAUGAGAUUAAUCGAUGAGUGGAAAGAGAUAGCUAUAACGUCCAACAGAAAGUUGGAAUAUCUAGAGCGAGGAUUAGUGGAGUUGGAGGGUAAAGUCAUAAAGAGGAUUGAGGACUGCCAGAAUGCUAAAGGAAGUGAAGGAGGACAUCUAGUCAGAACCUAUUUGCUGCUGGGACUGCGCGAACUGGGGAACCUGUAUGAUGGAGUCAAGAAGAUCGAAUCAGGGGAAGGUCCUUCUGGGACAAAGUAGGCUAGAUUUAUUUGCUUUCCUAAAUGUUAUAAGGCCAAGUGCCAAUAGUGACUUUCUUUUCUAUUGUCUUAGUGUCGUUUUGGGAUUCGUCUAUUUUUACAUUAUUAAAUGAAGUAUUUACCGACGUCUAAAAGUUCGCCAAAUCUACUUGUCACUAGGCCUACAUCGGGCACAACGAGGCUCCCAAAUAAGGACACAAAUUUACAUUCCCGUAAUAUGUGUUUAAAUACUGGAAAUAUUUCAGAAUCCUCACUGACUUAUCUAUCUUUUUCUUUUUCUUUAUUCUUUAUUCCCAUCCCCUAAGGUUGGUUCGCUCAUACAGGCCUCAUCAGCAUGUCACACCAAAUCUAGAGGCCCUCCACCUCCUCCUCCUCCAAGCAAUACAAAAGGCAGAGGAAAAGCAAAAAUGGACGACUUAAGUGGUAUCCUAAAGGAGAAUAUUGAGAAUGUGGAAACUUCAGAUAGACGGAGUACUCCGGCACCAAAUGAUCUAGUCUUGAGACUGGAACAAAAGAUAUUUGAAUUACAAGGAGAACUUGAGCAGGUUUGCAACUUGGCAAACUUGUCACUCACCUUGAAUGUCCCUGACGUCAACCAACAAAACACAAGGAACCCAACACCUCCCUAAAUCACACAAAACCAACACCCACAAAAUCCUCCUGCACCGAAUCAAUACGCAACCCCACCCCAAAAUCUCAAUCCCUUACCAGUACUAACUCCGCCACAACAUCACCAUCAACCGAUUCAGUACCCACCAACCACCACUUACCACACUCCCCAAAACACACCACAACCCAUUCCCCAUCCUCAAAACUCAACCAAUGACCAUCAUUACACCCAAGUCCCCGGCACCUAUCAAAGCUACCCUAUAUGGGUAGAAACCGUACCUCACUCUAUCCAACCAAUCUCUUACACACCAGAAUCCUCCGAGAAGGACCUGCUCAUUAAGAACAUGGCUGAAGAACUCAAGAAGUUGACAAGUCGAGUUCAGGGUGUCGAAAGCGAAAAAGGAAUAGAAGGGUUGAACUAUAAAGACCUAUGCAUACAUCAAGACGUAGAACUGCCAGAGGGAUACAAACCUCCCAAGUUUGAGAUGUCUGACAGCAUAGGUGACCCUAGGGCCCAUAUGAGGACCUAUUGUCAAAAGCUUGUCGGGGUCGGGGAAGACGAAAAGAUCUGAAUGAAACUCUUUAUGAGAAGUCUUACUAGAGAUGCUUUGUCCUGGUACAUUAGCCAGGAUCCCAAGAAAUGGUCUAAUUGGGUGAAUAUGGUGUCGGAUUUCAUGGACCAGUUCAGGUACAAUAUAGAGAAUGCACUUGAUGUUUUCAACAAUAUAGAGAAUGCACUUGAUGUUUUCUACAUCUAGAAUCUUAAAAAGAAACCCACCGAAACCUUCCGCGAGUGUGCUACUCGUUGGAGGUCGGAAGCGGCCAAGGUCAGGCCAUCUUUGGACGAGGAACAGAUGAACAAGUUUGUCGUCAGAGCACAGGAUCCACAGUAUUAUGAAAUAUUGGUGGUCAUUGAAAACCAUAAGUUCUCUGGUAUCAUCAAGAUUGGGGAAAGAAUUGAGGAAGGCAUCAAAAGUGGGAUGGUAACGAAUUUUGAGGGAUUACAGGCCACAAACAAGGCGUUACAAUCAGGCGACAUAUCAAAGAAGAGAGACGUUGGGGCAGUAAUGGUAGCCCAAGGCCCAAAAUCUCCACUCACCUAUCAAACACCUCCACCUACAUAUCAAACACCUCUACCCACAAACCAAGCAUUAUCGCCUACAUAUCAGCCUUCAUCUCCCAGAUAUUCCCAACCAGCCACUGUCCAUCACACCUAUAACUCCCAACCAUCCCAUUUCCAAUCACCUCCAACUCGCCAACACUUUCCAAGACCACGACCAAACUUGGACCGCAAGCUACCCAGACAAUACACUGCCAUUGCUGAACCCAUCGACCAACUAUAUGAAAGGUUGAAAGCCGCUGGUGAUGUCACCCUCAUUCCUACUAUGGCAUUAGAGAAUCCAUCAUAUAGGUCAAUCCAAACAAAAAUUGUGUGUAUCACUCUGGUACGAAGGGGCACACCACUGAUGAGUGCCGAACAUUGAAGGAUAAGAUCCAGACGCUAAUUGACAACAAGGUCAUACAAGCAAAGGAAGCCGCAUCCAAUGUCCGCAACAACCCCCUCCCUGAUCAUAGAGGUGGUAGGGUACAUGUGAUAGAGACAAACGUAAAAUGGGACCCUGAGGGGUCGAUUGGGCUUAUUCAAGAAGGCGAUGACUUUAAAGUUUCAAUCACACUUGUCACACCUCCUUUUUUACCACCUGAGGGUAUAUAGGCAUUUAUCCAAUUAAAGGGACAUAAAUCGAUAUGGGAUUAUUUAAUUUAAUUCAAGCCGCCACUUGGAAUAAUUUAUUUGGUGUCCCAAGUCACCGAUUUAUUUUAAAAUCCCAAAUCGAAGAAAUUUCGACUUUACUUUAUAAGUCUGCGAAUCAGAAAUUCUAGAUAAGGAAUUCUAUUAAACCGGAAGAAGGUGUUAGGCAUUCCCGGGUUCCGUGGUUCUAGCAUGGUCGCUUAAACUAUUAAUAUUGGCCUAUUAUCUGAUUUACUACACGUUUUAAACCUAUAGUGCAUUUUUAACUUUUGACCGCUUUUAAUUAUUUAUGGAAUUAUUUUGGAACAAGUUACGACUGUCGUACACUUGCUUGUUUGGUACACAUUUCAAAUCGUGGCAUGGAAACCGUACCCACAAUUUACAACAUGUUUAAAUUAUUAACAUUAUUAGUUGUUGUGGCCGGGUCACAUAAAUGUACCCCCGGAUUUUAGUAAUUAAGCGUCAUGACUACGUCAUGGGCCGUACCCGUAGCUAUGACAAUUAUUUAAUUAACGUGCCUAAAGCAAGCUACGAAAGUUCAAGGCAUUUUCUAUACUAAAUUUAUUUAUGUGAGGGCCAUAGGUUAUGGAUUUUAUUUGCGUAUGGCACACCUCAAUUAAUUUUUAAAAGAAAAGAUUUGUAUUUUUCUCUAGGGCAAACUAAAGAUGCUCCUACUUUAAUCUAAUUUAAAAUUAGGUAUCGCAACCACGUCACGGAAACCGUACCCGUAGUUGUAAUAAUUUUAAUUGCGUGCUUAAAGCAAACUACGGUUGAAUUAUUUUUCUAGUCUUUGAGAUUAUAUGAGGCCAAGUAUGAGCAAUAUAAUAUACUUCAAACUAAAUUAAAACACCUUUCAUAAAAAUCUUGUAUACUAUACAAGAACAAUGACAACACAAUGUAUUCUCAUAAGUGGGGUCAGAGGGUAUUGAUGUAUGUAGCCUUACCCCUACUCUAGAAGGACAGAGAGACUGCUUCCGAUAGACCCUAGGCUAAAGAAACGAUGGAAGAAGCACUAAUAUCAAGUAAUAACCAUACAAGAUAUUUGAUAAUAACAGACUAAGGCUGAAAGGGAGGAAACACAAUAUAUUAGGGGCCAAAAUUAUAAUAAUGUUGUUUAUACGACUGAAUCCAAUAAGUCAUAGUCGUCCAUCAAGCAAAAUGAGAUCAAGUUACAUAUUUAACAAUGUAAUAACAUUCAAAAAAAAUGUUACACUCAAGAUGCAUUCAAUUUAACCACACUAAAAAAAUACAUUCUUGGAUAUACGAUACUACACGACUACAAACUUGAAGUACUAAGCAAAAAUCUUUAUAGCUACAAUUGCAAAUGUAGCUUUCCACAAUAAAAUCAAUAACAUGCUUAUUAAAAUGUGACAUUUUAUUCAACUUAAAACCAUUCAAAAAAAAAACAUCAACACAGUGGUUUAAUAUAUAAAAUGAAUAAGAUUUACAUCCUAUUCUUGAAUCAUUUUCAGAAUAUACCAAAUCCAUUUCAGGAUUAAAUUUAACAUAACAAGUGAGCUUAAAUAUGGAAUAUUGGUAAGAGCUUACCUCAAUAGAGAUAUACCAAAAGAUUUCUCACACCAGACCCAAAAGAAUAAUACGACAACUUCCGAAUAAAAGCUAACAAAAGAAAUAAGGAAAUCAACCACGGAUCUCAGCGAAAUUGCAACAAAGCAGCAACAAUCUCACAUGUCCAACAGCUUUAAAAAUCCAGCAAAGUAAAAAGCAGCUCUGAACAAUGGCUGGGAUCCUUUGGUCGUUUUUUUUCGAAUUUUUCAGAUCUGGGGUCCAAAUGUUUGAAUCAAAAAACUGUUUUCCAUCUCCGUGAGGGGAUGAUAGGGAGUACUUAUGUGUGCAUCUAUGUCAAUGAGUGAGAGAGGUGAGAAUUUCUAAGUGUAAGAGUUAGGUUAAGGUUUGUGGGUAAAGAAAGAAGAAGAAACAGGGGAAACAACGUUCUUCGUUUUAGAAGAGAAUGGGAUUUAAUUGUUAUUUUUUGGCUAGGUUAGGUCUAAGAUAGAGAAAGGGGUUUUAAAGGAGGGGUAGGGAUCAGGUUAGGUUGGGUUAUGG
RNAcentral lists this long non-coding RNA (18784 nucleotides) under Nicotiana tabacum (common tobacco). Its description in RNAcentral is "long non-coding RNA (NTAB_LNC008975)". The record is from RNAcentral. Lineage: Eukaryota; Viridiplantae; Streptophyta; Magnoliopsida; Solanales; Solanaceae.